This 911-nucleotide ribosomal RNA is filed under the name uncultured bacterium. RNAcentral describes it as "bacterial SSU rRNA". It matches the Rfam family "Bacterial small subunit ribosomal RNA", at positions 33 to 949 of the family's 1533-position model. The record is from RNAcentral.
ACGCUGGCGGCGUGCUUAACACAUGCAAGUCGAACGAUGAAGCCUAGCUUGCUAGGUGGAUUAGUGGCGAACGGGUGAGUAAUACGUGAGUAACCUACCUUUAACUCUGGGAUAAGCCUGGGAAACUGGGUCUAAUACCGGAUACGACCAAUCUCCGCAUGGGGUGUUGGUGGAAAGCGUUAUGUAGUGGUUAUAGAUGGGCUCACGGCCUAUCAGCUUGUUGGUGAGGUAACGGCUCACCAAGGCGACGACGGGUAGCCGGCCUGAGAGGGUGACCGGCCACACUGGGACUGAGACACGGCCCAGACUCCUACGGGAGGCAGCAGUGGGGAAUAUUGCACAAUGGGCGCAAGCCUGAUGCAGCGACGCCGCGUGAGGGAUGACGGCCUUCGGGUUGUAAACCUCUGUUAGCAGGGAAGAAGAGAAAUUGACGGUACCUGCAGAGAAAGCGCCGGCUAACUACGUGCCAGCAGCCGCGGUAAUACGUAGGGCGCGAGCGUUGUCCGGAAUUAUUGGGCGUAAAGAGCUUGUAGGCGGUUUGUCGCGUCUGCUGUGAAAGGCCGGGGCUUAACCCCGUGUAUUGCAGUGGGUACGGGCAGACUAGAGUGCAGUAGGGGAGACUGGAAUUCCUGGUGUAGCGGUGGAAUGCGCAGAUAUCAGGAGGAACACCGAUGGCGAAGGCAGGUCUCUGGGCUGUAACUGACGCUGAGAAGCGAAAGCAUGGGGAGCGAACAGGAUUAGAUACCCUGGUAGUCCAUGCCGUAAACGUUGGGCACUAGGUGUGGGGGACAUUCCACGUUUUCCGCGCCGUAGCUAACGCAUUAAGUGCCCCGCCUGGGGAGUACGGCCGCAAGGCUAAAACUCAAAGAAAUUGACGGGGGCCCGCACAAGCGGCGGAGCAUGCGGAUUAA